Molecule: ribosomal RNA, 253 nt
Filed under: uncultured bacterium
Lineage: Bacteria
Description: partial 16S ribosomal RNA
Rfam family: Bacterial small subunit ribosomal RNA
Source: RNAcentral
UACGGAGGGGGCAAGCGUUGUUCGGAAUUACUGGGCGUAAAGGGCGCGUAGGCGGCCUGUUAAGUCGAACGUGAAAUCCCCGGGCUCAACCCGGGAACUGCGUCCGAUACUGGCAGGCUUGAAUCCGGGAGAGGGAUGCGGAAUUCCAGGUGUAGCGGUGAAAUGCGUAGAUAUCUGGAGGAACACCGGUGGCGAAGGCGGCAUCCUGGACCGGCAUUGACGCUGAGGCGCGAAAGCCAGGGGAGCAAACGGG